This 3611-nucleotide long non-coding RNA is filed under the name Setaria viridis. RNAcentral's name for it is "long non-coding RNA (SVIR_LNC008193)". Lineage: Eukaryota; Viridiplantae; Streptophyta; Magnoliopsida; Poales; Poaceae. The record is from RNAcentral.
CAUUAGUGAGGUUGGUUCUCGCAGACUUAACUGCUGACUCCACAUUUCUGGAAGGUUGGGUAGAUCCGUUGCUCUGCUCGAUCUGCUGAAGUAUGUUGAUGGCGCUGGGCCAAUAAAGGUUUCUGAAGUAUCUGAAAGCCAUCACCGGACCCAUAGCUACUGAAACAGUCAGCUGGGUGGAAGAAGACGUUUGCACCACCGUGCAGCGGGAAGAAUAAGGUCAGAACACAGUUUUAAUUAUGACAGUUAUAUAGCAAAAUGGACUCAAAUAAAUAAAUAGUUUCACGGUUAAAAGCGAUACUAGACUUACAGCCAUGGUGAUCCAGUAUGAAGGUUGACCGCACAGGCGAAACAUGAUUGUGUACAUCUCAAGGCUCGGGAUGGCACUGAGUAUUAAGUUGAUCAUGUAGAAGGCCACAAAGUUUCCCCAGAUGAGAGCGAUUUGAGGGUAAGUGAAUGAGCUGAAGGCGCAAAAGAUGAUGUCAGUGAUUGUUCUAUAAUAAAUCUCAUCCGCGUAGGCACCUGAUGAGAGCUUACUUUGUGUCCGUCGUCACAACAAAAGCCUGUAACCAAAUGCAUCCUGACAGCGCAACCAUUGAGAGUUCCUGCAUCUCACUUUUCUCAUCCGCGUAGGCACAUAUCGUAAUGAAGAAAACGACGAGCGCCUGAAAUUGAAAAAUUUUAGUCUCAUGAAAGAAAAUGUAGAUCAAAUGCAUCUAGAUGCCUAUGCAGUUCACAUGCAAUUCUCCCAUACAGCAAGAUUAACAGAUUGAAGCACAAUUUGUGCUAGAUGCAGUAAUGGAGCAACUGCAUAACUUUUAUUUGUAAUCCUGUAAUCCAGAUGCCAAGACAAUGCAGUAAUGCACACAACACAUGCUUACAAUACUAAUUCAUGUAUUCGGUGCAUGUUCAUGUCCAUUGGAGAACAAAGGUUGUAGAAUAAGAAGCUAAUAAUUAGGCAAGUAUCAUGUGUCUUCACUCGACAAAUGUGGUUCAGUUUACUGCAGAAGGUCGGCCUGCAGGCUCUUUCCCCACAACCUGCAGGCUCUUUCCCCACAACCCGAGGAUAAUUCAUUUGAUGAUUGGUGGGCAAGAGUAACUGAUAGAGUGAAUGGUCAGAUACAGAAAGGACUCAACUCAUUGAUCAAUUUUGGAAGCAUGGUCAGUCUGGAAUCAUCAUAAUCGCUGUGUGUUUGAGGGGGGCCUGCCUAACCUAAACUGAGUUAUGGCAUCCAUAAGAGAAGAGAUACACCUUUGGAGUUUGGCCGGGGCUCGAGGAAUUUCCCAUCUCCUUGCUCUAGUGCCAGUUAAUGACUAGGUCUUUUCUCAGGUCAAGGUCAAGUUUAUUUGUAUGAAAAAGCGAGUGUAGAGGGUGUGAGUGUGUUGUGUUGUACGGGUUUCUAAACCCUUUAAUCUUCUUCUUAAUAUAAAUGAUACGCAGCUCUCCUGCGUGUUCGAGAAAAAAAAAUUAGGCAAGUAGCAUGCAUUGUCCAUGAACAGAAUCGGGUACCAGAGCAAGAGAUAUAUGAACAGAAUAACUCCCUGAUCGUCUUCAAUAACCCAAAAAUUGCACCACACUUUGGUGACUCUUCAAGAUGUGUGAUGAGCCGAUGCCGGAUGAAAAAUAACAAGAAACAGAUAAAAGAUUACUUACAUGAUAUAGUGAGCGCCCAAACCAUCCACAAAAUGUAGUUGGAUUUAGAAGCCUGGUAAGAUGAUGGAAAUAAUAAUAUUAGCAAAACUUAUGUAAGAGUACCAAAAAUAUCAAAAGCACAGAAAGGCAAAAUUCUAUUUACCUCCCAGCUUGAGAGUGCAGUAAAAUCUGGGGGUACUGUAGAGCUGUUGCUUCAGAGAUAUCCUUGUCAAAAAUUAUAGUCAUCACAGGUAGACUUGUAUAGAAAACAUUAUAAGCCAUCAGGCUAACUGAAUUGAAUAAGCUAGUUCCUGAGAGCCCCGAAAAGAAGGCAAACCUGACAGAGGACUCAGGUGAGCAGUGUAGCCACAAAAUCCAUGCGAAAUUGCAAAGCAGUAGCAGAAGCUAAUAAUUAAAAGGGAACAGAGACUCACAGAAUUUGUAUAAAGCAUAUAAGAAGUGACUUGUAGAAGGAAUACUGUGAAAUAAAUGCCGUUCGAUUGUAUGAAUAACGACCAUGAACAAGUAUCAACCUCUUCAGAAACUUGAAUUCUGCAAAAUAAGAAAUAUCCACAAUGUGAUUUUUUCCAAAGAAAAAUUUAUUGACUUUGUAGGUAAAGUGCAAAAGGGUAAUAAAGUGACAAUUGCAACCAUUGAAUACUCAUAUAAUGGUAGUAAAGAUUGAAACUGUUAGCACAUCCAGAAUGGAUAAAAACAAUGUUUGCACAAGUUUGAAUCUGGUUUAGCAAAUUCCAUUAAAUCAAAUUACCAGAUUUCUGGAAGUACAUAGAAUUCAUCUGUACUAACUACAAGUAAAUAGAAUUACAAUGUAUAUUCCCUCACAACUAGGGAAAAGACCUUUCAGAGGCAGCAGAGCAGGUAAACAAAAUAACUAAUAUAAUGAAUUUGGCAAAACUAGAAUGAUGCUUACUCCCAAUGCUAUAAUCAGCAGCUCUUGCAGCUUGCAGUCCUUCCCUACCACUAAUCCCUACUCCAAUGUUAGCCUCUUGGAUCAUUCUAACAUCAUUACCACCAUCGCCAAUUGCUAGAGUUAGGUACCCAACGGACUUUAGGAUAGCAACAAGCUGCACAAAUGCAAACAAUAUAAUUUAAACCAAUCAACAUCUAUAUAACAACACCAUGUGUCAUGUUUCAAGGUGGAUCAAAAGAAACAGAAAAAUUGUCCAAAUCAAUGUCCAUUACAAAACUAUCUGCAUUCUUAUUUAUUUGAGCUAUUACUUCUGAUAAGAUAUUGAGCUGCACACUACUGAACCAUAGUGGUACAAUGGUAUCCCCAACAUUAUUUUCUCUGACAAUAGCCCAUCCAAUAUCUUGGUAUGGAAUCAUGAUAUAUGAUGAUUGCCGACCAUUCACUUGUAAAGGAUUGAUGUACAUGUCAAAUGGUAAAUAAAAAAAUGAUGAUAAACAACAAAAUACCUGUGCUUUCUGCAAAGGUGUCAUUCGACAGCAUAUUGCUGUUCUUGACAGCAUCGCCAACCUAGUGAAAGAUUCCUUGGAAUGCUUUAGAAUUAUUUCAAGUGCCCAACCAUCCAAAACAAAUGCAAGAUCCUGCAUGAACAGAUUUAAGAUGAAGCACUCCAACUCAGGUUUAACAUUGAAUCCAUGAUCUAGAAUGAAAUAUAGUCUCAGUUUGUUUGUUUGCUCAAGAGGGACGUUCAAAAAAUACGAUACAAAUAAGAUUCAGGUAGUUGAGUUGAAUACAGGACAGGGAAAAAGAUCCUCUAGAGCCUACAAAUAUGGAAGGGGAAUAUGUUCUGUGCAAGAUAUUAUUUCAGCAUCUGACUGACUGGUGCUAAAGCUGAAUAUAUUCUUACAGAACAUGGGGGGAAAGAGCUGAUAAAUACUUGUUUAAGUAAUUUACAAUUAAUUGGAAUCCAAGAUACAUACCUUUGUUUCACAUGUAUUCUUCGUAAUUAGUAAUGCCCUCUCUAGGCUUCUUAGUAUGUCCUCUUCAGUU